UGAAGCAAAGAGAGAAAGGAAGAAAGGAGAAAGAAAGAAAGGAUGGAGAAAGAAAAAAAAGACAACGAAGGUUCGGCCUAGUGGUUCCAAGCUAAGGAAAGUAAGUUGAACUUUGAUUUUAGCUGUGAUUUCUUGAGGAAAUGAGUUGGUAAUUGUGUGAGAAUGUUUAUGGCAACAAAGUUCCUCCAAGAAUUGAAAGAAAUAGAUGCAUGCUUGUGGGUCAAUCUUGGAAUCCAUGGUGAUUUUGAGCUAGAUAAGCUAUGGCAAUGGUGACCAUGGGUGUGAGAAAAUUGUGAGCUAUAUGUGUGGAAUUCAAGCUAAAACCGAAAGGAAGCGUAUAAGAAGAGAAGUUGUUGUGGUGGCGUGCCAGAGGAAGUAACGGGUGACUGACAGGUAGAAUUAGCUAGAUACGCAUCCAAGUCAAUAGUGAAGUAGUAUCCUGCUAUUGUGAGGUGUUUGAAAGAAGAAUUUUAAUGGAAGAAGGAG
Theobroma cacao (cacao) is the source of this 486-nucleotide non-coding RNA. Lineage: Eukaryota; Viridiplantae; Streptophyta; Magnoliopsida; Malvales; Malvaceae. The record is from RefSeq and is a predicted model, not a curated record.